CUUCCUUUGAGUGAAGUCUGAGUUGAGCCAGCUACAGAGCCUCCAGCACCAGGCAGCCUGGCACCAAGAAUCCAAAGCUAAAAAUGGACCAUUCUAACUGUUUCCUCCCAGUGGUACCUGAACGGGGCAGGGGCGGGGGUGUCUCAGACACUCCUUUCCCUACCCUCAGGUUCUGUCACAGAAGCCCUCCUGCUAUCAACGCCAAGGAUUUUAAGGGACAUAUGAUUUGCAGGACACCAACCAUGUGGUGUCCUCAGCACCACUUCCCUCCAAAGCACGGAGCACUAGAGAGAGAGAAGGCAAGAAAGAAACUGUCUCCCAAGUCUCCACUCCCGAGACUCCACUCUGGACAACUACCAAGCACUUACUGGCUGUUGAGGCAUCUGGGACACAAUGACAGCCAGCAAGUGAACAGUUUUUCCACACACUGCCGCCAGCGUGUGCUGCCUCCCCUUUCGGGCCUGAAAACAGUGGGGUUGAAAAAGCAACAAGAAAUGGACUAAAACUUCCUAAAUUGUGAGCCAAAAAAAACCCUUUCUCUUUAUAAGCUGAUUAUCUCAGGUGUCUGUUACUAUAAUAAAAAUCUGAUUAACACACCCCUACACUCUUGGAUUUUAUCAUCUGCAACUGGAUUUUCUCUUAGAAAGGAUUUUGUAUUUUGGAUGUGUUUGCCUUUUUAUGUUCAAG
RNAcentral lists this long non-coding RNA (687 nucleotides) under Heterocephalus glaber (naked mole-rat). RNAcentral describes it as "lncRNA (ENSHGLG00000032186.1)". The record is from RNAcentral. Lineage: Eukaryota; Metazoa; Chordata; Mammalia; Rodentia; Bathyergidae.